CCUACGGGAGGCAGCAGUGAGGAAUAUUGGUCAAUGGGCGCGAGCCUGAACCAGCCAAGUAGCGUGAGGGAUGACUGCCCUACGGGUUGUAAGCUUCUUUUAUAGAGGAAUAAAGUGAGGCACGUGUGCCUUUUUGUAUGUACUUUAUGAAUAAGGAUCGCCUAACUCCGUGCCAGCAGCCGCGGUAAUACGGAGGAUCCGAGCGUUAUCCGGAUUUAUUGGGUGUAAAGGGAGCGUAGAUGGGUUGUUAAGUCAGUUGUGAAAGUUGGGGGCUCAACCGUAAAAUUGCAAUGGAUACUGGCAGCCUUGAGUACAGUUGAGGUAGGCGGAAUUCGUGGUGUAGCGGUGAAAUGCUUAGAUAUCACGAAGAACACCGAUGGCGAAGGCAGCUUACUAAACUGCCACUGACAUUGAGGCUCGAAAGUGUGGGGAUCAAACAGGAUUAGAUACCCGUGUAGUC
This 460-nucleotide ribosomal RNA is filed under the name uncultured bacterium. RNAcentral's name for it is "partial 16S ribosomal RNA". It matches the Rfam family "Bacterial small subunit ribosomal RNA", at positions 338 to 795 of the family's 1533-position model. The record is from RNAcentral.